This 208-nucleotide long non-coding RNA is filed under the name Hordeum vulgare. RNAcentral describes it as "long non-coding RNA (HVUL_LNC019815)". Lineage: Eukaryota; Viridiplantae; Streptophyta; Magnoliopsida; Poales; Poaceae. The record is from RNAcentral.
ACCACGCCACCAUUAUCCUUGCUGCCAUAUACCAUCACCACGCCACCAUUAUCCUUGCUGCCAUAUACCACCACCAUAUAUCCAUUACCAUCCUAGUCUGUUUCGGUUUAGGUUAAUUUCGAGAUCUAUUUGAUUUCGAUUUCGCGUUUCCUUACCUGAGUAGGUUUCGAAAAAAAAAAAAAAAAAAAAAAAAAAAAAAAAAAAGAAG